GAACGCCCCGCAAGGGGAGUGGCAGACGGGUGAGUAACACGUGGGAACGUACCCUUUUAUACGGAAUAACCCAGGGAAACUUGGACUAAUACCGUAUGUGCCCUUAGGGGGAAAGAUUUAUCGGAAAAGGAUCGGCCCGCGUUGGAUUAGCUAGUUGGUGGGGUAAAGGCCUACCAAGGCGACGAUCCAUAGCUGGUCUGAGAGGAUGAUCAGCCACAUUGGGACUGAGACACGGCCCAAACUCCUACGGGAGGCAGCAGUGGGGAAUAUUGGACAAUGGGCGCAAGCCUGAUCCAGCCAUGCCGCGUGAGUGAUGAAGGCCUUAGGGUUGUAAAGCUCUUUCACCGGAGAAGAUAAUGACGGUAUCCGGAGAAGAAGCCCCGGCUAACUUCGUG
Molecule: ribosomal RNA, 395 nt
Filed under: uncultured bacterium
Lineage: Bacteria
Description: bacterial SSU rRNA
Rfam family: Bacterial small subunit ribosomal RNA
Source: RNAcentral